AUUGAACGCUGGCGGCAUGCCUUACACAUGCAAGUCGAACGGCAGCACGGGUGCUUGCACCUGGUGGCGAGUGGCGAACGGGUGAGUAAUACAUCGGAACGUACCUUAUCGUGGGGGAUAACGCAGCGAAAGCUGUGCUAAUAACGCAUACGCCCUGAGGGGGAAAGCGGGGGAUCGCAAGACCUCGCGCGAUUAGAGCGGCCGAUGCCUGAUUAGCUUGUUGGUGGGGUAAAAGCCCACCAAGGCGACGCUCAGUAGCUGGUCUGAGAGGAGGAUCAGCCACACUGGGACUGAGACACGGCCCAGACUCCUACGGGAGGCAGCAGUGGGGAAUUUUGGACAAUGGGGGCAACCCUGAUCCAGCAAUGCCACGUGAGUGAAGAAGGCCUUCGGGUUGUAAAGCUCUUUUGUCAGGGAAGAAACACCGGCUCUAACACAGUCCGGGAAUGACGGUACCUGAAGAAUAAGCACCGGCUAACUACGUGCCAGCAGCCGCCGUAA
RNAcentral lists this ribosomal RNA (501 nucleotides) under uncultured bacterium. RNAcentral describes it as "partial 16S ribosomal RNA". It matches the Rfam family "Bacterial small subunit ribosomal RNA", at positions 29 to 523 of the family's 1533-position model. The record is from RNAcentral.